Molecule: small RNA, 49 nt
Filed under: Thermosynechococcus vestitus BP-1
Lineage: Bacteria; Bacillati; Cyanobacteriota; Cyanophyceae; Acaryochloridales; Thermosynechococcaceae
Description: Thermosynechococcus elongatus BP-1 Hsp17 thermometer
Rfam family: Hsp17 thermometer
Source: Rfam by way of RNAcentral
AUCCCGCGGGCAAUCUAAAACUAAAACGAUACAGGAGGAUAAGCGUAUG